ACUAAGCGUACACGGUGGAUGCCCUGGCAGUCAGAGGCGAUGAAGGACGUGCUAAUCUGCGAUAAGCGCCGGUAAGGUGAUAUGAACCGUUAUAACCGGCGAUUUCCGAAUGGGGAAACCCAGUGUGAUUCGUCACACUAUCAUUAACUGAAUCCAUAGGUUAAUGAGGCGAACCGGGGGAACUGAAACAUCUAAGUACCCCGAGGAAAAGAAAUCAACCGAGAUUCCCCCAGUAGCGGCGAGCGAACGGGGAGGAGCCCAGAGCCUGAAUCAGCAUGUGUGUUAGUGGAAGCGUCUGGAAAGGCGCGCGAUACAGGGUGACAGCCCCGUACACAAAAGCGCAUGUGUUGUGAGCUCGAUGAGUAGGGCGGGACACGUGGUAUCCUGUCUGAAUAUGGGGGGACCAUCCUCCAAGGCUAAAUACUCCUGACUGACCGAUAGUGAACCAGUACCGUGAGGGAAAGGCGAAAAGAACCCCGGCGAGGGGAGUGAAAAAGAACCUGAAACCGUGUACGUACAAGCAGUGGGAGCUGAGGGAAAGGCGAAAAGAACCCCGGCGAGGGGAGUGAAAAAGAACCUGAAACCGUGUACGUACAAGCAGUGGGAGCCCCACCACUAAGCCAGUGGUGAACUCCACAUACGCAUCCUUUGCUGAGGAUACGGUUAACGGAGCGCAAGCGACGUUCAACCGCAAAAGAAGCAGAGGGGGCUUAGUGGUGGGGUGACUGCGUACCUUUUGUAUAAUGGGUCAGCGACUUAUAUUCUGUAGCAAGGUUAACCGUAUAGGGGAGCCGGAGGGAAACCGAGUCUUAAUUGGGCGUUAAGUUGCAGGGUAUAGACCCGAAACCCGGUGAUCUAGCCAUGGGCAGGUUGAAGGUUGGGUAACACUAACUGGAGGACCGAACCGACUAAUGUUGAAAAAUUAGCGGAUGACCUGUGGCUGGGGGUGAAAGGCCAAUCAAACCGGGAGAUAGCUGGUUCUCCCCGAAAGCUAUUUAGGUAGCGCCUCGUGAACUCAUCUCCGGGGGUAGAGCACUGUUUCGGCUAGGGGGCCAUCCCGGCUUACCAACCCGAUGCAAACUGCGAAUACCGGAGAAUGUUAUCACGGGAGACACACGGCGGGUGCUAACGUCCGUCGUGAAGAGGGAAACAACCCAGACCGCCAGCUAAGGUCCCAAAGUCAUGGUUAAGUGGGAAACGAUGUGGGAAGGCCCAGACAGCCAGGAUGUUGGCUUAGAAGCAGCCAUCAUUUAAAGAAAGCGUAAUAGCUCACUGGUCGAGUCGGCCUGCGCGGAAGAUGUAACGGGGCUAAACCAUGCACCGAAGCUGCGGCAGCGAACGUAUCACUUAAAGCGAUUCAGCGGGUUACGAUUGACGGAGCGAAGCGACGUCAAAGCGUAUACAAAGUCGAGUCGGUUUAAGGAUACGUUCGUUGGGUAGGGGAGCGUUCUGUAAGCCUGUGAAGGUGGCCUGUGAGGGUUGCUGGAGGUAUCAGAAGUGCGAAUGCUGACAUAAGUAACGAUAAAGCGGGUGAAAAGCCCGCUCGCCGGAAGACCAAGGGUUCCUGUCCAACGUUAAUCGGGGCAGGGUGAGUCGACCCCUAAGGCGAGGCCGAAAGGCGUAGUCGAUGGGAAACGGGUUAAUAUUCCCGUACUUGGUGUUACUGCGAAGGGGGGACGGAGAAGGCUAUGUUGGCCGGGCGACGGUUGUCCCGGUUUAAGCGUGUAGGUGUGUGUUCCAGGUAAAUCCGGUUCACUUUAACACUGAGGCGUGAUGACGAGGCACUACGGUGCUGAAGCAACAAAUGCCCUGCUUCCAGGAAAAGCCUCUAAGCAUCAGGUAACAUCAAAUCGUACCCCAAACCGACACAGGUGGUCAGGUAGAGAAUACCAAGGCGCUUGAGAGAACUCGGGUGAAGGAACUAGGCAAAAUGGUGCCGUAACUUCGGGAGAAGGCACGCUGACAUGUAGGUGAAGUGAUUUACUCAUGGAGCUGAAGUCAGUCGAAGAUACCAGCUGGCUGCAACUGUUUAUUAAAAACACAGCACUGUGCAAACACGAAAGUGGACGUAUACGGUGUGACGCCUGCCCGGUGCCGGAAGGUUAAUUGAUGGGGUCAGCGCAAGCGAAGCUCCUGAUCGAAGCCCCGGUAAACGGCGGCCGUAACUAUAACGGUCCUAAGGUAGCGAAAUUCCUUGUCGGGUAAGUUCCGACCUGCACGAAUGGCGUAAUGAUGGCCAGGCUGUCUCCACCCGAGACUCAGUGAAAUUGAACUCGCUGUGAAGAUGCAGUGUACCCGCGGCAAGACGGAAAGACCCCGUGAACCUUUACUAUAGCUUGACACUGAACAUUGAGCCUUGAUGUGUAGGAUAGGUGGGAGGCUUUGAAGUGUGGACGCCAGUCUGCAUGGAGCCGACCUUGAAAUACCACCCUUUAAUGUUUGAUGUUCUAACGUGGACCCGUAAUCCGGGUUGCGGACAGUGUCUGGUGGGUAGUUUGACUGGGGCGGUCUCCUCCUAAAGAGUAACGGAGGAGCACGAAGGUUGGCUAAUCCUGGUCGGACAUCAGGAGGUUAGUGCAAUGGCAUAAGCCAGCUUGACUGCGAGCGUGACGGCGCGAGCAGGUGCGAAAGCAGGUCAUAGUGAUCCGGUGGUUCUGAAUGGAAGGGCCAUCGCUCAACGGAUAAAAGGUACUCCGGGGAUAACAGGCUGAUACCGCCCAAGAGUUCAUAUCGACGGCGGUGUUUGGCACCUCGAUGUCGGCUCAUCACAUCCUGGGGCUGAAGUAGGUCCCAAGGGUAUGGCUGUUCGCCAUUUAAAGUGGUACGCGAGCUGGGUUUAGAACGUCGUGAGACAGUUCGGUCCCUAUCUGCCGUGGGCGCUGGAGAACUGAGGGGGGCUGCUCCUAGUACGAGAGGACCGGAGUGGACGCAUCACUGGUGUUCGGGUUGUCAUGCCAAUGGCACUGCCCGGUAGCUAAAUGCGGAAGAGAUAAGUGCUGAAAGCAUCUAAGCACGAAACUUGCCCCGAGAUGAGUUCUCCCUGAGACUUAAAGUCUCCUGAAGGAACGUUGAAGACGACGACGUUGAUAGGCCGGGUGUGUAAGCGCAGCGAUGCGUUGAGCUAACCGGUACUAAUGAACCGUGAGGCUUAACC
RNAcentral lists this ribosomal RNA (3154 nucleotides) under Salmonella enterica subsp. enterica serovar Derby. Its description in RNAcentral is "bacterial LSU rRNA". It matches the Rfam family "Bacterial large subunit ribosomal RNA". Lineage: Bacteria; Pseudomonadati; Pseudomonadota; Gammaproteobacteria; Enterobacterales; Enterobacteriaceae. The record is from RNAcentral.